Molecule: ribosomal RNA, 446 nt
Filed under: uncultured bacterium
Lineage: Bacteria
Description: bacterial SSU rRNA
Rfam family: Bacterial small subunit ribosomal RNA
Source: RNAcentral
UUCCAGACUCCUACGGGAGGCAGCAGUGGGGAAUAUUGCACAAUGGGGGAAACCCUGAUGCAGCGACGCCGCGUGAGUGAAGAAGUAUUUCGGUAUGUAAAGCUCUAUCAGCAGGGAAGAAAAUGACGGUACCUGACUAAGAAGCCCCGGCUAACUACGUGCCAGCAGCCGCGGUAAUACGUAGGGGGCAAGCGUUAUCCGGAUUUACUGGGUGUAAAGGGGGCGCAGACGGCGAUGCAAGCCAGGAGUGAAAGCCCGGGGCCCAACCCCGGGACUGCUCUUGGAACUGCGUGGCUGGAGUGCAGGAGGGGCAGGCGGAAUUCCUGGUGUAGCGGUGAAAUGCGUAGAUAUCAGGAGGAACACCGGCGGCGAAGGCGGCCUGCUGGACCGCGACUGACGUUGAGGCUCGAAAGCGUGGGGAGCAAACAGGAUUAGAUACCCGAGUA